Molecule: long non-coding RNA, 478 nt
Filed under: Nicotiana benthamiana
Lineage: Eukaryota; Viridiplantae; Streptophyta; Magnoliopsida; Solanales; Solanaceae
Description: long non-coding RNA (NBEN_LNC028644)
Source: RNAcentral
AGUGAUGGCUUGCUCACAAUUGUUUCUUAUUAUCUUAUAUUCAAAGGACUAGCAUGUAUUCUGUAGCUCUUUUUGGUCAAAGAGUUAUUCAGAGAUUCUCUUAUUUUAGCACCUUUUCACAGUUUUUAUGUAAUCAGCAAUUUGACACUGAUGGCACUGGAAAUGGGUUUGGAAAAAUCGAAGAUUACUUGAAUGAGAGCUGGAAGAGUAUGAACUCCGAUAAUAAUAUGAAUAAGCCUGAUAUACAGGAGUCACCUGACUUUAUUGGAAUCAAUGGCUGCUAUGAAGGCGAUUUCCGACAAAAUUUUAUAUCAAAGAUAAGCCUGAUAUACAGGAGUCACCUGACUUUAUUGGAAUAUAUGGCUGCUAUGAAGGCGAUUUCCAACAAAAUUUUAAAAGUCGGCACAACUUUAUUGAGAAAGUGAGAAACGAGGCUUGUAUGAUUCUUGAAAUUCUUCAACAAGAUGGUCCAGGAUUU